UACGAAGGGGGCUAGCGUUGCUCGGAAUCACUGGGCGUAAAGGGCUCGUAGGCGGUUUGUCGCGUCGGGAGUGAAAUCCACUGGCUUAACUGGUGGCUUGCUUUCGAUACGGGCAGACUGGAGGUAUGCAGGGGAGAACGGAAUUCCUGGUGUAGCGGUGAAAUGCGCAGAUAUCAGGAAGAACACCAAUGGCGAAAGCAGCUCUCUGGGACGGUACUGACGCUGAGACGCGAAAGCGUGGGGAGCGAACAGG
RNAcentral lists this ribosomal RNA (253 nucleotides) under uncultured bacterium. RNAcentral's name for it is "partial 16S ribosomal RNA". It matches the Rfam family "Bacterial small subunit ribosomal RNA", at positions 524 to 776 of the family's 1533-position model. The record is from RNAcentral.